CCUGGUAGUCCCGCCNUAACGAUGUAACUGGUUGUUGGUCUUACUGACUCAGAACGAAGNUAACGGUAAGUUGCCGNCUGGGAGUCGGCCGCAAGUUGAAACUCAAAGGAAUUACGGGGACCCGCACAAGCGGUGGAUGAUGUGGUUUAAUUCGAUGCAACGCGAAAAACCUUACCCACCUUUGACAUGUACGGAAUCCUUUAGAGAUAGAGGAGUGCUCGAAAGAGAGCCGUAACACAGGUGCUGCAUGGCUGUCGUCAGCUCGUGUCGUAGAUGUUGGGUUAAGUCCCGCAACGAGCGCAACCCUUGCCAUUAGUUGCUACGAAAGGCACUCUAAUGGGACUGCCGGUGACAAACCGGAGGAAGGUGGGGAUGACGUCAAGUCCUCAUGCCCUUAUAGGUGGGGCUACACACGUCAUACAAUGGCUGGUACAAAGGGUUGCCAACCCGCGAGGGGGAGCUAAUCCCAUAAAGCCAGUCGUAGUCCGGAUCGCAGUCUGCAACUCGACUGCGUGAAGUCGGAAUCGCUAGUAAUCGUGGAUCAGAAUGUCACNNCCCNUACGUUCCCGGGUCUUGUACACACCGCCCGUCACANCAUGGGAGCGGGUCUCGCCAGAAGUAGGUAGCCUACCGCAAGGAGGGCGCU
RNAcentral lists this ribosomal RNA (646 nucleotides) under Comamonas aquatica. RNAcentral describes it as "bacterial SSU rRNA". It matches the Rfam family "Bacterial small subunit ribosomal RNA", at positions 786 to 1454 of the family's 1533-position model. Lineage: Bacteria; Pseudomonadati; Pseudomonadota; Betaproteobacteria; Burkholderiales; Comamonadaceae. The record is from RNAcentral.